Molecule: ribosomal RNA, 569 nt
Filed under: uncultured Bifidobacterium sp.
Lineage: Bacteria; Bacillati; Actinomycetota; Actinomycetes; Bifidobacteriales; Bifidobacteriaceae
Description: bacterial SSU rRNA
Rfam family: Bacterial small subunit ribosomal RNA
Source: RNAcentral
CACUAGUGAUUCUCCUGGAAACGGGUGGUAAUGCCGGAUGCUCCAGUUGGAUGCAUGUCCUUCUGGGAAAGAUUAUAUCGGUAUGGGAUGGGGUCGCGUCCUAUCAGGUAGUCGGCGGGGUAACGGCCCACCGAGCCUACGACGGGUAGCCGGCCUGAGAGGGCGACCGGCCACAUUGGGACUGAGAUACGGCCCAGACUCCUACGGGAGGCAGCAGUGGGGAAUAUUGCACAAUGGGCGCAAGCCUGAUGCAGCGACGCCGCGUGCGGGAUGACGGCCUUCGGGUUGUAAACCGCUUUUGAUCGGGAGCAAGCCUUCGGGUGAGUGUACCUUUCGAAUAAGCACCGGCUAACUACGUGCCAGCAGCCGCGGUAAUACGUAGGGUGCAAGCGUUAUCCGGAAUUAUUGGGCGUAAAGGGCUCGUAGGCGGUUCGUCGCGUCCGGUGUGAAAGUCCAUCGCUUAACGGUGGAUCCGCGCCGGGUACGGGCGGGCUUGAGUGCGGUAGGGGAGACUGGAAUUCCCGGUGUAACGGUGGAAUGUGUAGAUAUCGGGAAGAACACCAAUCGAA